This 433-nucleotide ribosomal RNA is filed under the name uncultured bacterium. RNAcentral describes it as "partial 16S ribosomal RNA". It matches the Rfam family "Bacterial small subunit ribosomal RNA", at positions 29 to 507 of the family's 1533-position model. The record is from RNAcentral.
AACGAACGCUGGCGGCAUGCCUAACACAUGCAAGUCGAACGAGGCCUUCGGGUCUAGUGGCGCACGGGUGCGUAACGCGUGGGAACCUGCCCUUAGGUUCGGAAUAACUCCCCGAAAGGGGUGCUAAUACCGGAUAAUGCCUUCGGACCAAAGAUUUAUCGCCUUUGGAUGGGCCCGCGUUGGAUUAGCUAGUUGGUAGGGUAAAAGCCUACCAAGGCGACGAUCCAUAGCUGGUCUGAGAGGAUGAUCAGCCACACUGGGACUGAGACACGGCCCAGACUCCUACGGGAGGCAGCAGUGGGGAAUAUUGGACAAUGGGCGAAAGCCUGAUCCAGCAAUGCCGCGUGAGUGAUGAAGGCCUUAGGGUUGUAAAGCUCUUUUACCCGGGAUGAUAAUGACAGUACCGGGAGAAUAAGCGCCGGCUAAGUCCGUG